This 122-nucleotide ribosomal RNA is filed under the name Lottia gigantea (owl limpet). The record is from RNAcentral. Lineage: Eukaryota; Metazoa; Mollusca; Gastropoda; Lottiidae.
GUCUACGGCCAUACCACGUUGAAAGCACCAGUUCUUGUCCGAUCACUGAAGUUAAGCAACGUCGGGCUCGGUUAGUACUUGGAUGGGUGACCGCCUGGGAACACCGAGUGCUGUAGACUCCU